RNAcentral lists this transfer RNA (72 nucleotides) under Ovis aries (sheep). It matches the Rfam family "tRNA". Rfam says of the family: Transfer RNA (tRNA) molecules are approximately 80 nucleotides in length. Their secondary structure includes four short double-helical elements and three loops (D, anti-codon, and T loops). The record is from Rfam by way of RNAcentral. Lineage: Eukaryota; Metazoa; Chordata; Mammalia; Artiodactyla; Bovidae.
UCCCUGGUGGCUUAGACGGUAAAGCGUUUGCCUACAAUGCAGGAGACCUGGGUUCAAUCUCUGGUUCAGGAA